This 590-nucleotide ribosomal RNA is filed under the name Aschersonia andropogonis. Its description in RNAcentral is "SSU rRNA". It matches the Rfam family "Bacterial small subunit ribosomal RNA", at positions 232 to 832 of the family's 1533-position model. The record is from RNAcentral. Lineage: Eukaryota; Fungi; Ascomycota; Sordariomycetes; Hypocreales; Clavicipitaceae.
UCUUCCGGGAUAGGUAGUAGUUAAGGUGAUGGCUUAACUAGCCAAAAACUCUCGUAGUCGAAGCUGAAAGGUUGAUCGACCACAUUGGGUCUGAAAAAACCCCAAUGCAAGUUAGUACAGCAGUGAGGAAUCUUGGUCAAUGGCCUAACGGCUGAACUGGCAACUUGGAGAAGUGGCAAGUCUUAUUUUGAUUAUAUUACAAUAUAUAAUCUAUAAGAUUGUAUUAAAAUUGAAUAAAGCUUUGUUUAUAUAUUGAUAAUGACAGUAUAUAUAUCGUGUCUUGACUAAUUACGUGCCAGCAGUCGCGGUAAUACGUAAGAGACUAGUGUUAUUCAUCUUGAUUAGGUUUAAAGGGUACCUAGACGGUCAAUAUAUCUUCUAAAAUGUUAGUACUUGACUAGAGUUUGAUAUAAGAGGGCAGUACUUGAGGAGGAGAGAUGAAAUUCUAUUAUACCAAAGGGACUCGGUAAAGGCGAAGGCAGCCCUCUAUGUAAAAACUGACGUUGAAGGACGAAGGCACAGAGCACAAACAGGAUUAGAUACCCAAGUAGUCUUUGCAGUAAAUGAUGAAUGCCAUAGGUUUAGAUUAA